RNAcentral lists this ribosomal RNA (467 nucleotides) under uncultured bacterium. RNAcentral's name for it is "partial 16S ribosomal RNA". It matches the Rfam family "Bacterial small subunit ribosomal RNA", at positions 29 to 523 of the family's 1533-position model. The record is from RNAcentral.
UACAAACGCUGGCGGCGUGCCUAAUACAUGCAAGUCGAACGGGUAGCAAUACCAGUGGCGCACGGGUGAGGAAUACAUAGAUAAUCUGCCCUCGAGUCGGGGAUAACCAGUCGAAAGAUUGGCUAAUACCGGAUAAGACCACAGGAGCUGAGGCUCUAGGGGUUAAAGGUUUUUCGCUUGAAGAUGAGUCUAUGCGAGAUUAGCUAGUUGGUGAGGUAAUGGCUCACCAAGGCGACGAUCUCUAACUGGUCUUAGAGGAUGAUCAGUCACACUGGAACUGAGACACGGUCCAGACUCCUACGGGAGGCAGCAGUAGGGAAUAUUGCGCAAUGGGGGAAACCCUGACGCAGCGACGCCGCGUGAGUGAUGAAGGCCUUCGGGUCGUAAAGCUCUGUCGUAUGGGAAUAACACAAUGAAUGUACCAUGCAAGAAAGGAUCGGCUAACUUCGUGCCAGCAGCCGCGGUAA